Molecule: small RNA, 678 nt
Filed under: Pongo abelii (Sumatran orangutan)
Lineage: Eukaryota; Metazoa; Chordata; Mammalia; Primates; Hominidae
Description: processed transcript
Source: RNAcentral
ACAAUUUGAUGAAUUUUGAACAACCUCAGUUAUGCAACCACCAUAACAUGAUGGAUUGUUUUAGUAAAUGUUCUUCUUACCAUGAGUUCAUCCUUGUUUAAGUCUGGAGUUUGCCAUGUUAAGGUUGCAGGCGCUUGAAAGUGUAAUAAAAUUGUAGGUUUUUUAAUCUUUUUUUUAAUCUCUUACUGGAAGGAUGAAUUAUAGUUUAAAUAGUAAUAAUACAUUGUCGUUGUUACACUUACUCUUUAAGUAAGCUAGGUCAUUAUUUUCCAAAAUGAAUGUAGUAGAAUUUCAGAAUGGCUUCUGGAACAUGUUUCCUGUUAAAAGGCCUAGAAUAUCCUGCAGUGGUAGAGUUUGCUCCGUUCCAGAAGAUAGCCAAAAAGAAGCUGAGAAAAAAAGAUGCCAAGACUGGAAGCAUCGAAGAUGAUCCAGAAUAUAAGAAGUUUUUAGAAACCUACUGUGUGGAGGAAGAGAAGACCAGUGCCAACCCUGAGACUCUGCUGGGGGAGAUGGAGGCGAAGACAAGAGAGCUCAUUGCUAGAAGAACCACACCUCUUUUGGAAUAUAUUAAAAAUAGAAAAUUAGAAAAGCAGAGAAUUCGAGAAGAGAAGCGAGAAGAACGGAGGAGGAGAGAGUUAGAAAAGAAACGUUUGAGGGAAGAGGAAAAAAGAAGAAGAA